This 4742-nucleotide long non-coding RNA is filed under the name Ficedula albicollis (Collared flycatcher). RNAcentral describes it as "lncRNA (ENSFALG00000028506.1)". The record is from RNAcentral. Lineage: Eukaryota; Metazoa; Chordata; Aves; Passeriformes; Muscicapidae.
CCCCCCCCCCCCCCCCCCCCCCCCCCCCCCCCCCCCCCCCCCCCCCCCCCGGCUGAUUCUCAUUUCGAGGCCAUUUCAGGAGCCUGGAGAAGGGAAAGGGGAAGGGAGGGGGAGGAAGAGGGGGGGACUCUUUCAAAUUAUACAAAGCGGGGGGAGCUGGUGAAUGGUUCAGUGGUGAUGUGGAAAAAUGACUCCCCCCUCCCCUCUUUUUCCUCCCCAUCCCUUGGCUCCAGCUGGGACACAGCCCCCACUGUCCCCCCACGUGGGGAUCUGAGCUGUGAAACAGCAGCAAAAAAGUAUCAAAAAAAAAAAAAAAAAAAAAAAAAAAAAAAAAAAAGAGAAGAAAAUAGUUGAAAAUCGGUCACAUUCCAGAGAGAUUAGAGCCAGUCCUGGGUCCUUGUUACCAGCCAAUUAAAACCAGGGAUAACCCCUUCCCUGCUGGAGCUCAUCCCUCUGGGAGCCCCCAGACCCCGGAAGACAAGGGGCCAGGGGAUCCCCUGAUGUCCAAUUAAGGGUGUUCAUGAGAGGAUUUCCGCUCCUCUUCUCCAGAGGGAUCAAUCCAAUUGCGGAGACUUCCCUGGGAAGGGGGAAAAGCGCUGCUGGAGAAGCCCUGGCUGGUGCUGGGCUGGGCUGGGUGUCCUGGUGUGGCACAUGCCACCAUCCUUUAUCCUGGUGUGGCUCAUGCCACCAUCCUUUAUCCUGGUGUGGCACGUCAGGGUGGCUGCUGUGUGUCCCAGGACUGCAGGUCCCAGGAUUGCACAUCCUGGCAAUUCCAGAUGCCAAUGUCACACGUCCCAGCACGGUGUGUCAUGACGUCCCAGCAUCUCCCAUCUCCACGUCCUGGUCCAAGCACCGUGCGACCCAGCACUGUCGUGCAGGCUCUGCAGCUCAUCCCAGUGCUGCACAUUCCAUCACUUAUCCCGAUGCUCCCUGUCCCUGCACGGGCUCCUCUCUGUGGGAUCAAAGCCUCAGGCUUGGUACUCACUGGCCUCAUUUUGGGAGAGAAAAGGUGUGUUUGGGACCAUUUUGCCAGAGGCUCUGGGGCAGGAGCCUCUUUGUUGGCUUUUCCCUUUGCCUGCAGAGGCUCCAGCCCAGAGAUGAUCCUGCAGGAACCACCACGGAGAAGAUCCAGGUGAUCCCAGCAUGUGGGGAAGGAAGGCGGCACUGAUGGGGGGCAAAUCCAAAAAAAACCCCAGAAAAUCCCAAGUUAGUGCAGGAGAAAGGAGAGCUGCCGUGGUCCGAGGAUGCCGAGUAUCGAGUGAGCCCCUACGCCGGAAAAAUCCCCCCAUUCCAACACCUCCAUCUGCAUCCCAACGCCAAAACCCUCCACGCUCUGCCAGAACCGCCAGCGAGACCCGCCUGGUUUUUGGAGCAACCCUUUUUCCUGCCAAAAAUCUGUAUUUUAAUCAUUUUCCUUGGCAGCAGCACAGUUAAGGAUCUAUUUUCUUUAGGAGACAGAUACGGCUCUGUAUCCUCGGGAAUUCAUGGCAGGAGUGGCAUAAAAAAAGCCGGAAUAAGCCCAGGUUAUGGAUUUUUCCCUCAUUUAUUUUGGGAUCGCAGCCUGCAGAGGUGCAUUAAUUACACCAAGGUGCAUUAAUUACACCGGCAUGGCAUCUGGAGAACUGUUUGGAUGGAAUUCCAUGCCUGAGGAAGGUUUGGAUUUAUUUAAAUCCUCGCCUCCAGACUCGAAUCCCUGGGAUUAAACUGGUUUUUUUUGGGAAUAAUGCCAAUCCUGUGCAUGGUCUCAGCUUCGUUACUCUGGCAAUGCUGUGCCUGGUUCCCGUCCAUUUCCAAGGCAGGGAAAGAUGCUGGGAUGAGAUUUCACCCCAGGAUGGAUCCCUCCCAUUCUGGGUUUGGGAUAAAACCCACCAACGCCACAUGAUCCUGAUGGAAUGGAUCCAGUACCAAGGCAAUAGGGUUUUGCACCCACCAAGUUCAUGCAUGUCCAGAGCAUUUCCUUUCCAUCCCACCUUGGAGAUAUUUGUGUUGUUUGGAAUGAUCCCAAGGAGCCAAACACAGCCUCACGGGUCCCCAGUUCCUGGCUCCCCACGAGGAAACCCAGGCUAAAACGCUGCUCCAAACAGCAAUGCCAUCAUUAGGCUCCAACAGAUCCAUUCACCAUCAAGAGCAGAGCCUCAAAAAUACUCCCUGGACAGGAAUUGCUAGGAAAGUGAUACUGGGGACCACGGACACUUCCCAGAUUCCAGGAUCCCAUUUGGAAAUAACACAGGAGCAAAGUGAAGUCACACAGAUUGAAGAGCAGGAGCAGCAUCCAUCCACUGGUGCUCGGUGGGUUGGCACAGGGAUGGGACUUCUCCUGGUUUGGAGCAUGGGAUGGCACUGUGUAACUAGAUUCCUAAAUAUUUCCCAGAUUUCCAUAGAUAUCCCAGAUUUCUAAAGAUUUUGGAGUGGAGAAAUGCAAAAGCACUGCUUCCCUGCCUGGUAUUCCAAAAAGAGUUGUCCAGUUGUUUGGCUGUCAGAUCAGUCCUGGCAUACACAGACUUAUCCAACCCUAGGAUCCACCACCUUCCUGGCCACCUCCUUGGAGCAUCUCCUGGCCAUAGAGAUUAUUUGGGGUUUGGGUUUCUUCUCCCAAGAUCUUUCUUUUCCAUGCAGAUCAAUCCACAGCACCUGGCUGUGAAAUAUGAGGCUGGAUGCCACGGCCACCAGGAUGCUGGGUCCUGCAGAUCCUGCAGCUUGUUUCCUCCAAUGCUGGGGCAAAAAAAGAAGGAAACAAGGAAAAGAUGUUUCCCAAGGCAGCCUGCGCCUCCUGCCACCCCGGCGUUCCGCGUGUCCAGGCUCAUCCAGAGCCUCCUGGGAUGAGGGUGGGAGGUGGGUUUGGCAAGCUUGGUGCCCUUGGGUGAUGCUGCAGCCGGCUGGAUCCAGAAAGGAUUGGGAGGCUGCUUCCAGCAGAGGGUUGGGAAGGCUGUGCCUGGAUGUAUCCGGCAGGGAAUCGGGGAUGCUGUGUCCAGAGGAUUCUGUUUCUGGUGGCUGCGGUAUGGAAUUGAAGAGGCUGAGCCUGGAUGGAUCCAAUAUCAGAUCCAGGAUGCUGUGCCCAGCUGGACUCAAUACGGGAUCAGGGAUGCUGCUGUGCCUGGAUGGAUCAGGAACAGGAUCAAUGGCGCUGAGCCCGGCCGGAUCCCACACGAGACAAACGUGCUGUGCCCAGCGGGGCCCAGUUUGGGAUUGAGGAUGCUGCACCCAAACGGAUCCAGUAGAGGAUCAAAGAUGCUGUGUCUGCCUGGAUCCAGGCCAGGCCCAAGGAUGCUCUGUCCUGCCAUUUUCUGUUGUGGGAUUGAGGAUGCUGAGCCUUGCUGGAUCUGGCACAGGAUCAGGGAUGCUGUGCCUAGGCGGAUCCAAUAUGGGAUCAGGGACACUGUGCCCAUCCAGUUGCACUUGGCACGAUGAUGUCCUGGAAUCUGGGGCACCCCUGUGCUGCCACACUGUGGAGCUCACCGAAGGGGGCUUGGUGAUGGGCACAGCGGGCAUGAGCAGCCAUGGGAUCCAGCAGGGCCUCACCCAGCAGCACCACAAAAUUCACCCAACCUGCCCCAGCAUCCCUAGCUCCCCCACACACACCCCUCACUAACUUGGCUCCGUGCAGAGGCCCCAGUCCAUUGGAAUUCAGCCCCGAUCCCAACCCCAGUCAUCCCCAGUCAUUGCUCUAAAACACUGGGGAGGCGACACCCGCUCCGGCCCCUGUUAAUUAAUCCCCUUUCUGGGAUUCAUUAAAUCAUCGUUAGCGGUGGCUUGUGACAGAUCCCAAUCCUUCCUCAUUAUCCAGGAUUCCUUGCCAGUGUUUGGCAUCAGGGUCAGUCCUGCUUCAUCCCCAAAACCUCAUAAUCCCAAGAGUGACAAAUUUGGAAUACAACCUUUAUCCAGCUGACUGCAAAACACCGGAAUGAUUAGCUUAUCGGCCCUCCCCAUCCCAGGAUUUUCACUCCACGGCCACUCCAACCAGUUGCUUCCAGGAAAGCAAAAGUAGGAAAACCCGGAAAAUAUGGAAAACUCCAGGCGAAACCAGCUGGAUCCCGGGACUUCAAACCAUUGUAAAUGCCAUAAUACUGUUGUCCCAUAUAUGUUCCACAUGGGAACACAGUUCCCUAUGGAUUCCGAGAAAUAAUAACGCGGAAAAGCAUCACUGGAGCGAGAAACACACGUGGGCAACCAGGAGUGAGGUUGCGGUGCUCCAGCCCGGGAUUCACUGGGUACCACCGGCAUCCCUCCCCGAAGGCUCAGGACCCCCGGAGGGCUGAGAAUUCCCUCAUCCCUCGGGGGGCCUGAGAAUUCCACCCAGGAUAGCCCUGUAGGGCCGCGCAGGGAGCACCUGAUGUUCCUAAAAUACCUUUAUAUCCCUGAAAUUACUUUAAGACGCUGACCAAGAAGUUGAGUGGGUUUGGGGGUCGAGACUGUCUGCUGAGGGGAGUCAGCUCCCCCUCUCCUACGACUCUCCCCCCCCCAGUUCUAGCUCAAUUUGCUUAAUCACUUCUCCCCCCGCGGCCAAGGUUGGCCCAUUAACGGCUUUAAAACCCUUUUAAAUGAGAAAAGCGGCAACUCAGGGUCAGGUUUCGGGGCGGGUCCCCCGGAGUGAAGCCCCCCCCAAAGUCCCCACCCCCAAAGGGGCAAAGUGAACCAAAAACAAAGCAAAUAAACUGAAUUUCUUGGGGUUUUUUGUAAGCAUCCUGCAGGAGGGGCUGUGAGGCUUAGGGGGGUCUGAGCACCCGCAAAAGGUGAGGUGAGCC